Molecule: RNA transcript, 2185 nt
Organism: Mus musculus (house mouse)
Lineage: Eukaryota; Metazoa; Chordata; Mammalia; Rodentia; Muridae
Gene: Klhl36
Gene name: kelch-like 36
Exons: 5
Source: RefSeq, marked provisional
CGCCCGCCUGCCGGCCCCGCCCCCCAGCCGCCAUUGACAGUGUAGGCUCGCACUUCCUUGCAGAGGGAUGGCUGCGCUUCGGGCGGGCCCGGUAGCCCCGCAGUGUGCGCUGCUCUGGUAGCGGCUCGCAAGCGGGCGCGAUCCGGGCUCGCGGGUGCACAGGUGCGGCCCACGCCUCCCUCGGCGCCUCAGCACCUUCGGGGCGGGACGCGGGACGGUCUGAGAUUGGUCACAAUGGAGGCAAGCAAGCAGAUGCGGGUAUCCCGGCCAUACAAAAUCAGUGAGUCUUCAAAGGUGUACCACUGGCCUGACCACUCUACUGCGGUGCUGCAGCGGCUGAACGAGCAGCGGCUGCACGGCCUCUUCUGCGACGUGGUGCUGGUGGUCGAAGAGCAGCAAGUGCCAGCCCACCGCAACCUUCUGGCUGUGUGCAGCGACUACUUCAACUCCAUGUUCACACUGGGCAUGCGCGAAGCUUUCCAGAAGGAGGUGGAGCUGGUGGGCACCUCCUACGUGGGGCUCAAGGCCGUGGUAGAUUUCCUCUACAGCAGCGAGCUGGAGCUGGACGGCAGCAACAUUGACUACAUCCUGGAGACGGCGCAUCUGCUGCAGAUCUGGACCGUGGUGGAUUUCUGCUGUGAGUACCUGGAGCAGGAGGUGAGCGAGGACAACUAUCUCUACCUACAGGAGCUGGCCUCCAUCUACAGUCUCAAGAGGCUCGAUGCCUUCAUCGAUAGCUUCGUACUGAGCCACUUCAGCACGCUGUCCUUCACGCCUGACUUCCUGCAGUCCAUCUCCGUGCAGAAGCUGUGUGUCUACCUGAGCAGUGGCCAGGUACAGCACAAAUGGGAAUACGACCUGCUGCAGGUGGCUCUGCAGUGGCUCACGCAGCAGCCGGAGCGCGAGGUGCACACCCGCCGCGUUCUGGAGAACAUCCGCUUCCCCCUCUUCCCCGAGGACAUCCUGCUACAGCGGGUGAAGCUGGCCAUGUGCUCUCUGCUGCCCAGCGAGGCCAACGGCGAGGGCUUUGUGGAGGAGGCCAUGCACUACCACAACAGCCUGGUGGCCCAGCCUGUCCUGCAGACGAAGCGAACGCUGCUGCGCUCCGAGGAGUGCUUGCUCUUCGUGGGGGGCGAGGUCUCUGAGCGGUGUCUGGAGCUGAGCGAUGACACCUGCUACCUAGACACCAAGAAUGAGCAGUGGGUGAAGGAGACAUCCCUGCCGGCCCGCCGGAGCCACCACUGCGUCGCUGUGCUGGGGGGCUUCAUCUUCAUUGCCGGGGGCAGCUUCUCGAGAGACAACGGAGGGAAUGCCGCCUCCAACCUUCUUUAUAGGUGGCGUCCAUGAACCAGCGCCGUGUGGAUUUCUACCUAGCUUCCAUUGAAGACAUGCUGGUGGCUGUCGGUGGCCGGAACGAGAAUGGAGCGCUGUCUUCUGUAGAGACCUACAGCCCCAAGACCAACUCCUGGACCUACGUGGCCGGCUUGCCAAGGUUCACCUAUGGCCACGCGGGCACCAUCUACAAAGACUUUGUCUACAUCUCAGGGGGCCACGACUACCAGAUUGGCCCGUACCGCAAGAACCUGCUGUGUUAUGACCACCGGACAGACGUGUGGGAGGAGAGGCGGCCCAUGACAACAGCUCGGGGCUGGCACAGCAUGUGCAGCCUGGGCGACAGCAUCUACUCCAUCGGGGGCAGUGACGACCACAUGGAGUCCAUGGAGCGCUUCGAUGUGCUGGGCGUGGAGGCCUACAGCCCACAGUGCAACCAGUGGACUCGCGUGGCGCCGCUGCUGCAGGCCAACAGCGAGUCAGGCGUGGCCGUGUGGCAGGGCCGCAUCUACAUCCUGGGGGGGUACAGCUGGGAGAGCACAGCCUUCUCCAGGGCUGUGCAGGUGUAUGAUAGCGAGGCCAACAGGUGGAGCCGGGGUCCUGACCUCCCCAACGCCAUUGCGGGUGUGUCGGCCUGUGUGUGUGCCCUCAACCCAAGGCUGGAGGAAAAGAAGAAGAGGAACAAGGACAAAUGCCAGGACCGAGGUCAGUGACCCCGAGGCGCUCACAGAGGCGGCCGUCUCCGUGACAAUCCUCCACCCCACCCCCCUCCAGCAGCUUUUUGUACUUUUUUCAUUCCCGGUCUUUCUAUGCUACCACAGUAAAUAAUAAUUAAAUAUUCUUCACAAUUUCA